RNAcentral lists this long non-coding RNA (1638 nucleotides) under Canis lupus familiaris (dog). RNAcentral describes it as "lncRNA (ENSCAFG00845003755.1)". Lineage: Eukaryota; Metazoa; Chordata; Mammalia; Carnivora; Canidae. The record is from RNAcentral.
GGCCUAAAACUCCGAGCGUUCCGUAAGCUGUCCCGUGGACGCCAACGGCUGUGUGGCCGUCGCAGCCUCGCACGCCCAGAGCAGGCUCCUCCGCCCCGCAGCAGAGCCCGUACGGUUCGCGGUCAGGGUCGUUCUCUCCGUCCGCGGCCACAGCUCGCGGGACGCUUCCCACCUCUGCGCGUGCUCUCCCGGACACUGAGGGCCGAGGGGUCCUGCGGCCGCGGCCCUGUGCGGCCCCGCGUGCCCCGCGCUGCUCCCAGGGGCUGCUGUCCCGAGCCCGCGCCUGCGCCCUGGGGUAGCCCCCCCCCCGCCCCCCCGCCGCGGCCCCCUGCGCCCGCGUCUGCGCCCUGGGGCCGCCUUCCUGCGCCUGUGCCUUGGGGCUGCGCCUGCGCCUCGGGGCCGCAGGCUGCUGGGUGGCGGCUGAGGCCGACGCCGUCCGUGUCCGCGCUCGCCCCGCGGGCCCCGUUGGCCCACCCGACGCCGCGCCGCCUCGCUGCUGACCGACGGGCCCCCGGCGGCGCUCGGCCGGGCCCCAGGGCCCCUCAGCCCUGCCGCCUCACCGGCCCCGCCGCGCCCCCCGCGGAGGCCUUGCCGUCCCUCCGUCCUUCCGGUCGCGCCCGGGCCACGUGGGCGCCACGCACUUCCGGUCGGAGGGUCCCAGGGCCACUGGCCAGAGGUGACGUGGGGGGGGCGGGGCAGGGGGCCCGCCGCCUGAGCGGCUCCCGGAGCCCGGCCCGACGGGGUGGAGGUCAGGGCGGUGCCCGGCCCGGGGCGGGUGGGGGGUGCCUGCUGGUGGACCCACGCACCCGCUCGUCCUCUUCCCUGACGCUCUCGCGUAGCCCUCGGAGUGCCCCGCCCUGGGCCGCCACCUGGCGCAGAGGCUCCCGAACACCUUGGUCCUCACGCCCUCUGAAGGAGCUGUAAAGAGGGACCGUCCUCGCGCGGUUUUUAAGGUCCUGAAGGUGUUUGUCGUAAGUUUGAAUACUUGCAAAGGAUCCAAUUUGGAGCAUAGUGUAAAUGUGUUAACAUUUCAAAAUGAAAGUUGAAUGUCUUUUGUGAAUGUGUACAAUCAAAUCUGAACACUGGUGGUUCAUAAUCCAUUAUUCCUUUUUUUUUUUAAGAUUUUAUUUAGAGAGAGAGCAAGCACGAGGCGGGGAGGGAAGAGGUGGGGGUGGAGGGAGACAAGCAGGGGAGAGGGCAGGAGGCCUGCCUUGGGGCUCGAUCCCAGGGCGCUGAGAACAUGACCCGAGACGAAGUCGGGUGCCGAACCCACUGAGCCACCCAGGAGCCCUCUAGGUCAGUCUGUGUUUAAACACAAUGAACUUUUUUUGUUUUUCUCCUUCAAAUCAAAGUUUCAUUUCAUUCCCCCACAAAUUUUACCUUGAUAUAAUUUAUAUUUAAAAGACCUCACUAAUCACCUUAUCACAUUUAUUUUUUUUAAACAUUUUUUUAAAAAUUUUUAUUUAUGAUAGUCACAGAGAGAGAGAGAGAGAGAGAGGCAGAGACACAGGCAGAGGGAGAAGCAGGCUCCAUGCAGGGAGCCCGAUGUGGGAUUCGAUCCCGAGUCUCCAGGAUCGCGCCCUGGGCCAAAGGCAGGCGCCAAACCGCUGCGCCACCCAGGGAUCCCACUUUUCUGCA